RNAcentral lists this ribosomal RNA (317 nucleotides) under Petrosia ficiformis. RNAcentral's name for it is "bacterial SSU rRNA". It matches the Rfam family "Eukaryotic small subunit ribosomal RNA", at positions 1160 to 1431 of the family's 1831-position model. Lineage: Eukaryota; Metazoa; Porifera; Demospongiae; Haplosclerida; Petrosiidae. The record is from RNAcentral.
AAGGGCACCACCAGGAGUGGAGCCUGCGGCUUAAUUUGACUCAACACGGGGAACCUCACCAGGUCAGGACAUGGGAAGGAUUGACAGAUCGAGAGCUCUUUCUUGAUUCUAUGGGUGGUGGUGCAUGGCCGUUCUUAGUUGGUGGAGUGAUUUGUCUGGUUGAUUCCGUUAACGAACGAGACCUUAACCUGCUAACUAGUCGUGCCGUUUCUGAACGGCGAGGGUUGUUGGUCGGUGCGACGUCUGUUGCAUCAGUUGGUGCCUUCACACUCUCCUCUCCGGUGACGACUUCUUAGAGGGACACUCGGCAUCGGUUU